This 203-nucleotide unclassified non-coding RNA is filed under the name soil metagenome. RNAcentral describes it as "partial internal transcribed spacer 1". The record is from RNAcentral.
AUGAAUAACCCUUGGGGGAUGCGCUGGCUUUGCAAGUGCGCUCCUUCAAUUAUUCAAUCCAAACACCUGUGCACCUUUGUAAUACUGAAGUCCCUGCUAGUGAAGGGUUCUGAUGGACCCCAUUAUUAGUACACUUUUGUAUUAUUAAACCAUAUACCCUAUGAUAAUGUGUAUUGUAGAAUGAAAUCGUAUUAAACUUAAUA